RNAcentral lists this ribosomal RNA (636 nucleotides) under Pedobacter sp. Ri3Ps_5238. RNAcentral's name for it is "bacterial SSU rRNA". It matches the Rfam family "Bacterial small subunit ribosomal RNA", at positions 380 to 1016 of the family's 1533-position model. Lineage: Bacteria; Pseudomonadati; Bacteroidota; Sphingobacteriia; Sphingobacteriales; Sphingobacteriaceae. The record is from RNAcentral.
ACUCUGAUCCAGCCAUGCCGCGUGCAGGAUGACUGCCCUAUGGGUUGUAAACUGCUUUUAUCCGGGAAUAAACCUCAUUACGUGUAAUGAGCUGAAUGUACCGGAAGAAUAAGGAUCGGCUAACUCCGUGCCAUCAGCCGCGGUAAUACGGAGGAUCCAAGCGUUAUCCGGAUUUAUUGGGUUUAAAGGGUGCGUAGGCGGCCUGUUAAGUCAGGGGUGAAAGACGGUAGCUCAACUAUCGCACUGCCCUUGAUACUGAUGGGCUUGAAUGGACUAGAGGUAGGCGGAAUGAGACAAGUAGCGGUGAAAUGCAUAGAUAUGUCUCAGAACACCGAUUGCGAAGGCAGCUUACUAUGGUCUUAUUGACGCUGAGGCACGAAAGCGUGGGGAUCAAACAGGAUUAGAUACCCUGGUAGUCCACGCCCUAAACGAUGAACACUCGCUGUUGGCGAUACACAGUCAGCGGCUAAGCGAAAGCGUUAAGUGUUCCACCUGGGGAGUACGCCCGCAAGGGUGAAACUCAAAGGAAUUGACGGGGGCCCGCACAAGCGGAGGAGCAUGUGGUUUUAUUCUAUGAUACGCGAGGAACCUUACCCGGGCUUGAAAGUUAGUGAAUGAUCCAGAGAUGGAUCAGUG